UAAAAAGUUCAACUUUAUAGUGAAACUGCGAACGGCUCAUUAGAGCAGAUAUAAUAUACCCGAGAUAUCUUUAGUGGAUAACUGCGGUAAAUCUCGAGCUAAUACAUGUCACAAAAGCUAGGCUCGCUUAGCUGCAGGUAUUAGUGCAAACCAAUCGUUUUCGGACGUAGUUUGCUGACUCUGAAUACCCAGUAUAUCGACGGUUUAUCCGUCGAAAGCUCGGAAUAGUGUCUGCCCUAUCAACUAGAUGGUAGUCUAUUAGACUACCAUGGUGAUAACGGGUAACGGAGAAUAAGGGUUCGGCUCCGGAGAGGGAGCCUUAGAAACGGCUACCACAUCCAAGGAAGGCAGCAGGCGCGUAACUUAUCCACUACCACAGUGAGAUAGUGACUAAAAAUAAAAAGUCCAAUCCUAACGGAUCGGAUAUUUCAAUGAAUUGAGCUUAAAUAGCUCUAUGAGGACCUAAUGGAGGGCAAGUCUGGUGCCAG
This 488-nucleotide ribosomal RNA is filed under the name Nematoda environmental sample. RNAcentral's name for it is "SSU rRNA". It matches the Rfam family "Eukaryotic small subunit ribosomal RNA", at positions 64 to 570 of the family's 1831-position model. Lineage: Eukaryota; Metazoa; Nematoda. The record is from RNAcentral.